UUCUUUACUCCCUCUCCUCACCUUCUUUCUUCUUUCUUCUCCGCCCACCGCCUUCCCCUCCGCCGCGACCCCCAUCCGCCGAUCUUCAGGGACCUUGUAGAAGAUCCCAUUCUCCAUGCCGGAGAUCUUGCCUCAUCCUUUAUCGAAAGAUCGGUUGAAGAUCAGAUCUUGAACUCGAGAUCCUUGUGGUUGAAAAUGCUCCGAGAAGACCGUUAAUUUCUGCGCACAGCAUUGAAGCAGCACAUGCAAGAUGCAGAAAUUGGGAGGGUUCAAACUACCACCUUUCUUCAAUUACCCACCUUAUUUCACAUCUUCAUGGAAUAGAUCGAACUAUUUUGAAUCGUGCACUGAAACUAUUAGAACAGAAGGGAAAACUUGUGGUCUUUAAAGGAACUUCAACUGAUGAUGAAGGAGUUAAAUUUUCUAUAUAAUUGUUUUGUGAAUUAAUCUAUUGAAUCUUUGGGGAUUUUACAUGUCAUCAACAGGGGAAUCUUUUGCUAUCUAUUUAAUGAGUUUGUUGAUGUGCAAGAUGUGUAAGAACAAGCUGUAGUAAAUUGCUAUCAAUUUUCAUUUCGGGAGCUUUGCUGUGUUAA
Long non-coding RNA from Glycine soja, 593 nucleotides. RefSeq lists it as uncharacterized. Lineage: Eukaryota; Viridiplantae; Streptophyta; Magnoliopsida; Fabales; Fabaceae. The record is from RefSeq and is a predicted model, not a curated record. The transcript has 3 exons.